This 66-nucleotide transfer RNA is filed under the name Pyrops clavatus. Its description in RNAcentral is "tRNA-Ala". Lineage: Eukaryota; Metazoa; Arthropoda; Insecta; Hemiptera; Fulgoridae. The record is from RNAcentral.
GGGGGAGUAGUUAACUAUAACAUUUACCUUGCAAGUAAAAAGUAUUGAAACAAUCAAUCUCCCUUA